This 336-nucleotide unclassified non-coding RNA is filed under the name soil metagenome. RNAcentral describes it as "partial contains 5.8S ribosomal RNA, internal transcribed spacer 2, and large subunit ribosomal RNA". The stretch from base 1 to 120 matches the Rfam family "5.8S ribosomal RNA", at positions 35 to 154 of the family's 154-position model. The record is from RNAcentral.
GAUGAAGAACGUAGCGAAAUGCGAUAAGUAAUGUGAAUUGCAGAAUUCAGUGAAUCAUCGAAUCUUUGAACGCACAUUGCGCCCGCCAGUAUUCUGGCGGGCAUGCCUGUUCGAGCGUCAUUUCAACCAUCAAGCCCCAGGCUUGUGAUGGGGACCUGCGGCUGCCGCAGGCCCUGAAAACCAGUGGCGGGCUCGCUGUCACACCGGGCGUAGUAGAUUUUAUCUCGCUCAGGGCGUGCUGCGGGUUCCGGCCGUUAAAAAGCCUUUUUUACCCAAGGUUGACCUCGGAUCAGGUAGGAAGACCCGCUGAACUUAAGCAUAUCAAUAAGCGGAGGA